This 440-nucleotide unclassified non-coding RNA is filed under the name fungal sp. RNAcentral describes it as "partial internal transcribed spacer region". The stretch from base 1 to 46 matches the Rfam family "Eukaryotic small subunit ribosomal RNA", at positions 1786 to 1831 of the family's 1831-position model. Lineage: Eukaryota; Fungi. The record is from RNAcentral.
AAGUCGUAACAAGGUAUCCGUAGGUGAACCUGCGGAUGGAUCAUUAUCACAGUUAACACUGUUUAAUUAUCCACAAUUUUCUUUUCGUGUAACUCGGCCUUGAGAGCAAAUCGGAUGGCGUGAGAGUUCCGGUAGGUCAUUCUACCAUGGGGUGUCCUCAUAAUCUCAUUUCUUUUUUUCUUUGGUGUGAUUUGGUUGAUGAGAUUUGGAUUCCUUUUCUCUCACGUUUUUUCAUCUAUUGUUCUCAUUGUAUUCUUCAAUCAAAAACACACACCAAUUUAACCCCUUGAACCUCUUUAUUGAGAAACGAACUAAACUGUUUUUCUUACUGUUCUGGUCCUCUUUUGGACUAAGGAGAGGAGAAAAAUAUUUAAAUACGAAACUAUAGUACAACUCUUAGCAACGGAUAUCUCGGUUCCUAUAACGAUGAAGAACGCAGC